Molecule: long non-coding RNA, 11120 nt
Filed under: Vitis vinifera (wine grape)
Lineage: Eukaryota; Viridiplantae; Streptophyta; Magnoliopsida; Vitales; Vitaceae
Description: long non-coding RNA (VVIN_LNC001747)
Source: RNAcentral
CGCUUCUCAAGUAUAAUCCAGUUCACAAGAAAAUCCCUGUGCUUGUACACAAUGGAAAGCCGGUUGCAGAGUCACUUGUCAUCCUGGAGUACAUUGAUGAGACCUGGAAACAUAAUCCCAUCUUGCCUACAGACCCUUAUGAGAAGGCCAUGGCACGGUUCUGGGCUAAGUACAUGGAUGACAAGGUAAACCCGAUACUAUAUUCCCUUUUUAAAAAAAAAAAAUUCAUUUGGAUCCUGACUACUAUUCAUUAUGCAGCUCUGGCCGGCAGCAACAAAGGUCGUGGUGAGUAAGGGAGAGGAGCAAAAGGCAGUGAUUGAAGAAAUCCAGGAGCAGCUGAAAACUCUAGAGAGUGAACUGAAAGAGAAGAAAUUCUUUGGAGGGGAGAGUUUGGGAUUUGUAGACAUAGCUGCAAACAUUAUAGUUUUUCUUCUUGUUGCCCAAGAAGCUCUGGGAUUAAUGGAGAUCCUGACCGAAGAGAAGUUUCCUGUUUUGCAUGAAUGGUAUCAAAGGCUUGUCGAUGAUGCUGUUUUCAAGGAAUGUGUGCCACCAAGGGAGCGACAUCUUGGCUUCUUCAAAGCUCGGUUUGGAUCCUCGACGGCUUCCAAAUGAAGAGUUGGUUUAUGUCUGUGCAUGAGUUGAUAGGGGAGGAACCUUGCUAGUUGCUUCUCAUAUAUGUGUUUCAGUUAUGUACUUUGAAGUUGUGUCAUGGACUUUACCCUGUUUCUGGGGAUGACAACUUAAAAAAUAAAUUGGAGUAGUAUUCUAUGUUCAUCUAAAUAAAAUUAAUCAUAUUGUUUCAUUAAGAGUGACAGAGAUUUAAAAUAUGUAUAUAUAUAUAUAUAUAUAUAUAUAUAUAUAUAUAUAUUAAAAAGACGUUGUAAUUUAUUUAUAAAAUAAUUAAAAAAAUAUUUUUAGAAUAUUAUUUUAAUUAGAAAUGAAAAACAGAAUGUUUUUGUUUACUUGUGGGCGUUUGAGCAAGGAAAAAGAUUUGACUUAUAGGUGAUGAUUCUAGAUUAGUUGAAAUACGGCUUUUCACUAUUUGAGGAAAAGAAAAUUGGCUUUUGGCUUGAAGGGUAAUUUUGAAAUUACAGGGAUACUAUUAUUAAAAAUUUAUUAUUUUAUUUAAAAAAAUGUAUGCUCCCUAUGAUACUUUUAAGAAAUACAAUUAAAUUUUAAAAUUAUCGUUUUGAUGUUUUUGAUGUGAUAAUAAGUUUUGUAAAUUUAGAAAUAAUUUCACAAAUUUUAAAUUUAAAUAAAUUGUAAUAAAGUGUUAAUAAAAUAUGAAUAAAUAAAUAAAACAAUUUUAUUUUACUCUUUGGUGUAUAAUAUUUUUGUACCCACAACUUUAGUGAAUUUGCAAAACAAUAAGAAAAUAUGUGAAACAAAAUAUUUUUUAUUAAAAUAUAAUAAUUGUGAGAAUACCAUAUUGGUAAUAAUUCUUUUAUAAAAUAAUAUUUUCUUAUCCUUCUUUCACUUUGAACACACUCCAAAAGGAAGGAAAAUAUUUUUUUAGUUUUGAAAGCUAAUUGAGGGCUUAAUUCGGGAAAGGUGAAAAACAUUUUUUUUUUUUUUCUUAUUUCUUGAAAUUUUUCUUCUUUAUGAAAUUUUUGUUUCAAAUCUAUGAAAAACAUAUCUAUUACUCUUUUACUAUUUCUUGAAAAUUUUCUUAUUUAUGAAUUUCUAUGUGGAGUCGAUCUUCCUUUCAUUAAAGGAAGUCGCCCUAUUAUCCAUAGAAUUAAGAAAUAAAAAAUUUGAAAUUCUUCAAGAUUUAGUUGUUUAAUUUAAAGAAUUUGUUUCAUUAAUUUUAACAACUUAUCUUCUUUAUUAAGGAAAUUUGCUAACAAAAAAAUAUUUAUUUUUAAUUCUCUUUUAAAUUUUGCAAUCUUUCAAAAUUUGUCACAUAUAUUAUUUAUCGAGUUCAAAUUUUGUUGAAUUGGGAAAUCACAAUUUUGAAAACCAAUUUAAUGAUAAUUUAAUUAAUUAAAAGUGUUGAUGUCUAUAAUUUCUUCUUAAUAAUUAAAUAUUUUAAUUUUAUUAUUUAUUAAAAUAAAAAAUCUUAAUAUAUUUAUAUUUUAUUUUUAUUAUGAUUUUAAAUAUAUAUUUUUUAAAUUUUAAUAAUGCUCAAAUAACCAUAUUUACCCAAAAUAUCGAUAAUUACGAAUAUAUCAAUACUUUAAUUAUAUUUAGAAAUAUCAGAGUUGAUAUUUUUUUACAAAUAUCAAUGGAGCGAAAAUUAUUUAAAAUUCACUAACAUCCUUGAAAAAACUAAAAAAAAAAUGAUAAAAUAAGCAAAAAUACACAUUUUUAAGUUUUUUUAAAGUAUAAUUGAUAUACAUAUUAUAAAAAAGAAAAACAUCGAUAGAUAGAAAUAUAUCAGUAGAUUUGAUAUUUGAAUUUUAAGAAUAAUAAAUAUGAAUUUUGGAAGUAUAUAAAGUUAGAAUUGAGUUAAAAAAUAUUUGAUUUUAUUGAAUAAAAAUAAUUUAUACAUAAAUAUAAUACAUAUGAUAUUGUAAUAGUCUUUAGUAUCAAAAUGAAUGGGGAUCUUGUUGAAAAUAAUAUUUAUUUAAAAAAAAUUUAAAUACUUUUAUUAAAACAUGUUUAAUUACAUUUUAAAUAAAAAAUUAAAUUAUUUUAUAUAAAAUAUUUUAUUUAAGAUUUAAUUUCUAAAAUUUUAUUAAAAAUAUGUGAUAACAACUUUUUCUAUUAAUAUUAAUUUAUUUAAAUAAUUAAAAUUAUUAAUAAUUUAUCUUAUCAAAUUAAUUUUAAUUUAUAAAAUAUUAAAACUUUCUUAACUUUCUUAAAUUUUUAUAUUAUAGCAAUUUUUUUGGGUAAAUUUAUAUUUUUAAUAUUUUAAAAUAAAAACAUUUAAAAUUAAAUAAAAUUGAAAGGAUGAAUAAAAAAAAUUUAAGAGUGAAGUGAUAAUAAUUUUUUAAAAUAAGAUUAAUGAGAUAAAUAUGAAAAAUGUUAAAAAUAAAAUUAUAAUACAAAAUAAAAUGAUAAUAUAAAAACAUAUAUGAAAUUUGGGCGAUUGAAUCGUCAAAAAUUCAAAUAUGAGAAUUUUCAAAAUUUUCAAAAAAGUGGUAGAAGGGGCAAUUUUUUUACGUUCUCCAUCUGCUCCGCGUGUCGCUUCGAGAAAUACCAAAAUAUUGGCGAUAGUUUCGAAAAAUUUCCGUGACGAAUAUUGUGUCGGAGCCGGCCGAUAAACGAUAUUUUCCCGAAAUUUUCCGACAUUUCAAUCCUUGCAAUUUAGCCCACUUAAAUAAUGCAAAGAGAUAAGAUUCCAAGGGAAAUAUCAAAUAUCACAUCACCGACAGCGAUAAGUGCCGUCUUCAAAGUCUUCAUUGUCUGGAUGCGUAGGCCAUGCCUCAAUGGACACGCAUUGGCUGAUGUCUACCACUUUGUCAGGCCCUCACCAGAUACAUUAUUGGUUCCCAAUCAUCCAUCCGAUCACACUCCAAACUAAAAUCUCGACAAAUCCAAGGGCCAGCACCGCGCCUGGUUUAUCAAGAAAACCUCUAUAGAUAAGAAGAGGGCAUACCAGUGGCAGCCUGAUCUCUUCAAGCUGCAACAAUGGCUGAAGAAGUGAAGCUGUUUGGCAUGUGGGCAAGCCCUUUUAGCCGCAGAAUUGAAGUGGCCCUCAAGCUGAAAGGGAUUCAGUAUGAGUAUAUAGAAGAGGACUUGUCCAACAAGAGUCCUUCGCUUCUCAAGUAUAACCCAGUCCAUAAGAAAAUCCCUGUGCUUUUGCAUAAGGGAAAGCCAGUUGCAGAGUCACUUGUAAUCCUGGAGUACAUUGAUGAGACCUGGAAACACAACCCCAUCUUGCCUGCAGACCCUUAUGAGAGGGCCAUGGCACGGUUCUGGGCUAAGUUCUUAGAUGAGAAGGUAAACCCAUUACUAUUUUUUUUUCCUUUUUUAUUUUAAAUUCACUUGGGUCCUGACUACUGUACAAUAUUAUGCAGCUCUGGCCGGCAGCAAAAAAGGUUGCGUUGAGUAAGGGAGAGGAGCAUAAUGGACUGAUUGAAGAAAUCCAGGAGCAUCUGAAAACUCUAGAGAGUGAGCUGAAAGAGAAGAAAUUCUUUGGAGGGGAGAGUUUGGGAUUUGUAGACAUAGCUGCAGACAUUAUAUUUUGGCUGCUUGUUGUCCAAGAAACUCUGGGACUCGAUAUCCUAACCGAAGAUAAGUUUCCCGGAUUGCAUGAAUGGUAUCAUAGGCUUCUUGAUGAUGCUGUUUUCAAGGAAUGUGUGUCAAUGGAGCGACUUCUUGCCUCUUUCAAAGUUCGGUUUGGAGCCUUGACUGCUUCCAAAUGAAGAGCGGGUUUAUUUGUGGAUGACUUCAUGGGAGAGGAAUCUUUCUUCUUGCACAUGUAUUUCAUAGUUAUGCAUUAUGAAGUAUUGUAAUGAACCUUGUCCUGUUUGUGGGAAUGAGAACUUAAAAAUAAGUUUGGAGAAGUAUUGCUCCAAAUGGCCUUAGGAAGAAGACUCAAACAUUGCCUCCUAAUUAAUAGGAAUUGAAUAUCCUAUGUUCAUCUACCUCUUGGUUAGAUUGAAUAAAGAUUUGGAUAUAGAAAUCCUUAUGACUGAGUCAUGGUUUGGUUCGGGGUUUAGUUCAGAGAUGAGAAUGUAAGUGGUAUGGGUAACAUUCAGCCUCAACUCCAUUCCUUUUAAGGUUUUCGAUUGGGUUUUCAUCCUCCCAUCAACGAAUGUAAAUCAAAUCUAAAAGUCAUUAUUUGAGGAAUUAUUUGGGUAAAUAAUCCCGACAGUCCAAUCAUCUCUCCCCAGCAUGAUGCUCCCCCAACAUUAUUGAAAUAUGUUUAACAUUUAUUAAAUGUUUAGUGAUGAAUUGGAGUGUGACAAUGAUGCUCUUUCCAAUAAAUAUUUCUCAAAAUUACCAUUUUUUUUUCAAAAAUCCUCCACCAACCCAUUAUAAAUGUAAGUAAUCAUACUAAAAUAAUAAUGCUAAUACAAUUGAAAUAAAAAAUAAAAUAUGAAUAAAUAAGUAACACAAUUUUAUUUUACUCUUUAGUCUAUAAUCUUUCUUCUUAAUAAUUAAAUAUUAUAAAUUUAUUAUUUAUUAAAAUAAAAAAUCUAAUAUAUUUAUAUUUUAUUUUUAUUGUGAUUUUAUAAUUCUUUUAAUUUUAGUAAUAUAUAAAUUAUAUAUUUAUAUUGUACAGUCAGUCACCUCGAUCCCACAUUUCAAGCAUAAACCAAUUAUUUAAAACAUAAUAUUGUUGGAUCAAAACAUCAAUUUUGAUCCAAAAUUCCUUUCUCCGAGAUUAACUGCCCAUGUGAAUGAUCUAAAGCGGUCAGGGAUAUAUCACGUGACCCAAAAAACGACAAAGGAAGGGACAGUGUCGACGGACAGUGCGGUGGCUCCUCUGCCAAAAAGUUGGUCACAGACUUUAAAAGGUAAGUUUUGGGGUAAAAUAACCCUUUUACAACAAAAAAAAACAAAAGAAUUUGGGAAACUGUGUUUUGACGGGCCAUUUGAAAAAUAUCUUAUUUUUGGAAUCCAAUUUUAUAAAAUAUGAUAACCAGAUUUUAAUAUGAAAAGUAAUAUUGCUUUUAUGCACUUUGACCUGGCUCCAUUUUUUUUGUCAAGAUUGCCCUCUGACGGCAAUGACCUCGACGGCAAUGGCUUUUGGCUUAGGUUUUUCGGUGUCGGAGGGGGCUUCCUUUUCGACUUUUUUCUUCAUGCUAGAGUGAGGAGUGAGGAGUGAGGAAGACGAAAGUGUCCUUGCCGUCGUUGUUGCUCCGGUGGAGGAAGUCGCAAAACUUCCACCGUUUUGAUGAUCAUGUGGAGUUGCUUUUCCUGCACCUUCCCGAUGGAGACUUCGCUACCUUGGGUUUCCACACACAGUACAUCCUCGACAGCACUCCCUCGAGCUCGUCGACCUCUGAUGACAAGGACACUCCAGGUCCAUUGCAGAUAAAAAAAAUAGGUUAUAGUGGUGACGAUGACAAUGGACUGAGUUGCGGCGACAAUAACCUUGACACAUCCAGAUUUUUCUCAAAUAUGAAAUAGAAUUUCAAUUGAAAAAUAUGCUUUUGAUAGAGGAGAGAGGAACGGCUUCGGAGGCCGACGAGCUCGAGGGAGUGCUAUCGGGGAUGUACUGUGUGUGGAAACCCAAGGCGGCGAAGUCUCCACCAAGAAGGUGCAGGAAAAACAACUCCACGGGAUCAUCGAAACGGUGGAAGUUCCGCAACUUUCUCCAUCGGAGCAACAGCGACGACAAGGACACUUUCGUCUUCCUCACUCCUCACUCCAGCAUGAAGAAAAAAGCCGAAAAGGAAGUCCCCUUGGGCGCUGAAAAACCUAAGUCAAAAGCCAUUACCGCCAAGGUCAUUGCCGCCGAAGGGCAUUCUUAGCACAAAAAAUGGAGCCAGCUCAAAGUGCAUAAAAGCAAUAUUACUUUCCAUAUUAAAAUUUGGUUCUCAUAUUUUAUAAAAUUGGGUUAUGAAAAUCAGAUAUUUUCCAAAUAGCCCCAUCAAAACACAAGUUUCCCAAAAAAAAUUAUAUAUAAGGUUAAGCCUUUUUACAAAAUUCAUGAUUUUAUUUUAAUUUUUUAAAAUUUAAGUUGAAACCUUGAUUAGAUUUCAGUUUUGGAUUGAAGCCGCAAUUAACAAUUAAGACUUCGUUUUUUAACUGAAGUUGUAAUUAGCAAUUGAUGCUUCAAUUUUUUUUCUUACUUUAAAAUUUAAUUUAAAAAUAUUAAAUUAAAAAUUAUUAUUAAAAUUAAAAAUAUAUAAUUUAAUAAUAAGAAAUUUAUAUACUUAAACUUAAAGAUUUAGUAUUACUUUAAUAAAGAUAAAUUGAUAAAUAUAAUAAUAAAUAAAUAUUUUAUUUAUCAAUAAAUUAAUAAUUUUAAAAUAAUAAAGUUAUAUGAGACAUAAAUAAUGUAUAAAUUUAUAUAAUUUAUUAAUUUAAUAUAUUAAAUUUAUUAUAUUUUUAAAAUAUAAAAUGAUAUAAUCUAUUAAUUUAAAUUACAUCACGUGUAGUACCUACUAAAAUCAUAGAGGGACAUUUUUUUCCAUUAUAUAUGAAAUAUUAAGAUUAUAUUAUUAUUUUAAUAAAGAUUAAUUUGUCAAAAUACAAAUAAAUUAAUAUCUUAAAAAUACAACAAAUUAAAUAUCUUAAAUUAAUAAAUUAUAUAAUUUAUAUCUUAUUUAUAUAUUAUAUAAUUUUAUUAUUUUAAGAUUAUUAAUUUAUUGAUAAAUAAAAUAUUUAUUUAUUAUUAUAUUUAACAAUUUAUAUAUUAGAUUGUUAUAUUUAAAUAUAUAACUUUUUUUUAUUAUUAAGUAUAUACUUUUAAUUUCAAUAAUAAUUUAUAAUUUAAUAUUUUUAAUUAAAAUUUAAAGUAAAAAAAAUUAACUGAAACCUUUAUUGAAAAUUGAGAUCUUAGUUAAAAAAUGAAAUCACAAUUAUCAAUUGUAACUUUAAUUUAAAAAUGAAAUCUCAAUUAACAAUUGAAAUUUCAACUUCAAAAUGAAGCCUCAAUUGAUAAUUGAAGUUUCAGUUUCAAAAUGAUGUCUCAGUUACUAAUUACUUUUUAAAAAUAAAGUAUCAUUUAACAAUUGAAACUUUAAUUUAAAUUUUGAUUAAAUAAAAUAAAAUAAAAUUAUGAUAUAUCUCUUAGUGAUGAUAAAAAGAUUAAUUUGAUCAUAAAGUUUUGCGGACGGGAUACACUAACAUUUCCUUUUAUAAAAGGGUUAUUUUGCACCCCCAAACUCUCAAAAGGCAUUGGCUGACGUCACCAAGUACAUUAUUGGGAUCCCAACCAGCCAUCCUAUCACACUCCACAUUAAAAUCUCCACAAAUCCAAGGUCCAGGACGGCACCUGGUUAAUCAAGAUUCAAGAUCAAGAAAACCACUAUAAAUAAGAAGAGAGCAUACCAAUGGCAGCCACAUCUCUUCAAUCAGCAACAAUGGCUGAAGAAGUGAAGCUUUUUGGCACGUGGGCAAGCCCCUUUAGCCGCAGAAUUGAAGUGGCCCUGAAGCUGAAAGGAGUUCAAUUUGAACAUAGCAGAGAACUUGUCCAGUAAGAGUCCUGCGCUUCUCACGUAUAAUCCAGUUCACAAGAAAAUCCCUGUGCUUGUACACAAUGGAAAGCCGGUUGCAGAGUCACUUGUCAUCCUGGAGUACAUUGAUGAGACCUGGAAACAUAAUCCCAUCUUGCCUACAGACCCUUAUGAGAAGGCCAUGGCACGGUUCUGGGCUAAGUACAUAGAUGACAAGGUAAACCCAAUAGUAUCUUCCUUUUUUAAAAAUUUUCAUUUGGGUCCCGACCACUAUUCGUUAGGCGGUUCUGGCCGGCAGCCAAAAAAGGUUGUGGUGAGUAAGGGAGAGGAGCAAAAGGGAGUGAUUGAAGAAAUCCAGGAGCAGCUGAAAACUCUAGAGAGUGAGCUGAAAGAGACGAAAUUCUUUGGAGGGGAGAGUUUGGGAUUUGUAGACAUAGCUGCAAACAUUUUAGUUUGGCUUCUUGUUGCCCAAGAAGCUCUGGGAUUUGUUGGAACUUUUACUAAUAAAACUAAAUUACCUACUUUUAUCUAGGAAUAUAUUAUUACCUUCAUUAUGAUUUUAACCCAGAUCUAACCUACUAUGUACCAUGAAUAUUCCCUCUCACAGCAAACACCUAGGAAACAACCAAAUAUCUUCUACUUUCAAGCCUACAGUUAUAUUAUACAUGUUAGGGUCAAACAAUGUACUAAAAUGGAUCUCCAAUGACAGUCUAGGAUUUAUAUAGUUUUUUACUAGUGUAAAAAAUUUUAAAUCCUUGAUGAAUGAUGCUUUUACUUCAUGUUUAGUAGACUCUUACUGUGGAUGAGAAUUAAUUAACUAAUCAUAUAUUAAGGUAUCGAAGUGGUAUUUAUCACACUCCCAAAUCCAUACCAUUGAAUAAAAGUCUAAAUACAUAAAACUUAGAUAUAUUUUAAUUUAUAAAGGAAAAAUGGUAAGAUAAUAAAAGUGGUACCUGUCGAACUACAUUCUAGAAUGUCAAAUUUAUAUCCAUGACCAUGAAUAAGGAUAUAAAUAAAUGGAAAUAAGGUACAGAAUACAAAUAAACGAAUCGAUGGUCUAUAUGUAUUUGGAUAGGUACUAUUUUGAUGGCUUAGCAAGAGUAGCUCGGAAAGUUCAAAAACGAAAAAAUGGUGGAUGGUAGACCCACAGCAAUACACCAACCGAUGAAUAUUUUUGAAAGACAUCGGGUCAAACUCGAGUUAUGAUGCAGAAUGGUCUGUGCAAUAUCGCUUCACCAGUAAACGGGUUUGUCCUCAAAUGAAAAAGGGAAGCCGAAAGCCAGUGAACAAAUUACACGAAAAAGUUUGUCCAAGACUCCCAAGGCUUCAAACGUUCCUUCGUCUGCAUAAUUCUUAGUGCACACGUAUUGGCUGACGUCUGGAAGCCUCUUGAUGGCGUCACCAUAUACAUCAAUGCUUCCCAAUCAGCCAUUCGACGACACUGACACGCUCCAAAGUCCAAACUAAGAUCUCGACAAAAGAAAAACCCCUAUAAAUCAGAAGAAAAUACGGCAAGGGAACCAUACCUCUCCAAACUGCAACAAUGGCUGAAGAAGUGAAGCUGUUUGGUGCAUGGGGAAGCCCCUAUAGCCGCAGAAUUGAAUUGGCCCUGAAGCUGAAAGGACUUCAAUUUGAAUACAUAGAAGAGAACUUGUACAAUAAGAGUCCUGCGCUUCUCAAGUAUAAUCCAGUUCACAAGAAAGUCCCUGUGCUCGUACACAAUGGAAAGCCGGUUGCAGAGUCACUUGUCAUCCUGGAGUACAUUGAUGAGACCUGGAAACACAACCCCUUCUUGCCUACAGACCCUUACGAAAAGGCCAAGGCACGGUUCUGGGCUAGGUUCAUAGAUGAGAAGGUAAAUCUAAUACUAUUUUGUUUUUCUUUUUUUAAAAAUCAUCUGGGUCUUGUCUCUUUAAGCAUUGGUAAACUUUAUAUGCAUUAUACAGUUCUGGCCGGCAGCAAAAAAGGCUAUGGCGAGUAGGGGAAGGGAGCGAGAGGAAGCGAUUGAAGAAGCUCAGCAGCAUCUGAAAACCCUUGAGAGUGAGCUGAAAGAGAAGAAAAUCUUUGGAAGGGAGAGUUUGGGAUUUGUAGACAUAGCUGCGCAUCUUUUGUUUUGGCUUGUUGUUGCCCAAGAAGCCUUUGGAGUGGAGAUCCUAACUGAGGAGAAGUUUCCCGCCGUGCAUGAAUUGUAUCAAAGGCUCGCAGAUGAGGCUGUUUUCAAGGAAUGUAUGCCACCAAAGGAGCAACUCAUUGCCUAUCUUAAAGUUCGGUUGGGAGCCUGGACUGCUUCCAAAUGAAGAGUUGGUUUAUGUACGUGUCUGAGUUGAUGGGAGAGGAACCUCUUUCUUCUCAUCUACGUAUGUCAAAGUCCUGUAUUUUGAAGUUGUAUCAUGAGCUUUGUCCCGUUUGUGGGUAUGAGAACUUAAAAAUAAAUUGGAGAAGUACUGCACUAAAUGGUACUACGAGGAAGAACACUCCAGCAUUGCUCCUUAAUAAUAGCAUUUCAAUUCUAUGUACAUCGACCUCUAGAUUAGAUUAAUAAAGAUUUGGAUAUAGAGAUGCUUAUGAAAGAGCAGCAUGGCUUGGUUCUGGUUCAGUUCAUGGAUAUGAGAGAAUGUAAGUGACGUUGAGCCUCAACUCUAAUGCUUUAAGGUUGUGUUUUGAAUUUAUGGCAUGGGAUGCUGAUGCUACUUCUAUAUUCUGCUUUGAAUCAUGGGUGUAUAUGGGCAUCACAAAACUAGAAGCUCCGUUUUGCUACAAAAUUUUCAAAACAUUCAAUGUUUCUAUGCCUAUUUUUUAAAAUAAUUGAUUAUAAACAUAUAAAAUAGUAAUUAACAAAAAUGCUCCUUUUACCAAUUUUUGUUUUUAUUCUAUCAUUCUUCCUAUGCUAUUAGGAGCAAAUUCUCUUUUAUUUAACCAUUUUAGGAUUUUUCAUUAUUUUUUAAACUCUUUUAUAAAUAAUUGAAAAAUCAAUAUUAUUUUCGGUUGGUUGCAGAGUCACUUGUCAUCCUGGAGUACAUUGAUGAGACCUGGAAACACAACCCCAUCUUGCCUACAGACCCUUACGAAAAGGCCUUGGCACGGUUCUGGGCUAGGUUCAUA